Molecule: ribosomal RNA, 855 nt
Filed under: fungal sp. mh1970.24
Lineage: Eukaryota; Fungi
Description: eukaryotic LSU rRNA
Rfam family: Eukaryotic large subunit ribosomal RNA
Source: RNAcentral
ACCCGCUGAACUUAAGCAUAUCAAUAAGCGGAGGAAAAGAAACCAACAGGGAUUGCCUCAGUAACGGCGAGUGAAGCGGCAACAGCUCAAAUUUGAAAUCUGGCCCCAGGCCCGAGUUGUAAUUUGCAGAGGAUGCUUUUGGCGCGGUGCCUUCCGAGUUCCCUGGAACGGGACGCCAUAGAGGGUGAGAGCCCCGUACGGUUGGACACCAAGCCUUUGUAAAGCUCCUUCGACGAGUCGAGUAGUUUGGGAAUGCUGCUCUAAAUGGGAGGUAUAUUUCUUCUAAAGCUAAAUAUAGGCCAGAGACCGAUAGCGCACAAGUAGAGUGAUCGAAAGAUGAAAAGCACUUUGAAAAGAGGGUUAAACAGCACGUGAAAUUGUUAAAAGGGAAGCGCUUGUGACCAGACUUGCGUCCGGUGAAUCACCCAGCUCUCGCGGCUGGGGCACUUUGCCGGCACAGGCCAGCAUCAGCUCGCUGUCGGGGACAAAAGCUUCGGGAACGUAGCUCUCUUCGGGGAGUGUUAUAGCCCGUUGCAUAAUACCCUUCGGUGGGCUGAGGUACGCGCUCCGCAAGGAUGCUGGCGUAAUGGUCAUCAGCGACCCGUCUUGAAACACGGACCAAGGAGUCAACCUUAUGUGCGAGUGUUUGGGUGUUAAACCCCUACGCGUAAUGAAAGUGAACGCAGGUGAGAGCUUCGGCGCAUCAUCGACCGAUCCUGAUGUUCUCGGAUGGAUUUGAGUAAGAGCAUAUAGGGUUGGACCCGAAAGAAGGUGAACUAUGCGUGUAUAGGGUGAAGCCAGAGGAAACUCUGGUGGAGGCUCGCAGCGGUUCUGACGUGCAAAUCGAUCGUCAAA